Molecule: ribosomal RNA, 497 nt
Filed under: uncultured bacterium
Lineage: Bacteria
Description: partial 16S ribosomal RNA
Rfam family: Bacterial small subunit ribosomal RNA
Source: RNAcentral
GAUGAACGCUGGCGGCGUGCCUAAUACAUGCAAGUCGAGCGAACGGACGAGAAGCUUGCUUCUCUGAUGUUAGCGGCGGACGGGUGAGUAACACGUGGAUAACCUACCUAUAAGACUGGGAUAACUUCGGGAAACCGUAGCUAAUACCGGAUAAUAUUUUGAACCGCAUGGUUCAAAAGUGAAAGACGGUCUUGCUGUCACUUAUAGAUGGAUUCGCGCUGCAUUAGCUAGUUGGUAAGGUAACGGCUUACCAAGGCAACGAUGCAUAGCCGACCUGAGAGGGUGAUCGGCCACACUGGAACUGAGACACGGUCCAGACUCCUACGGGAGGCAGCAGUAGGGAAUCUUCCGCAAAGGGCGAAAGCCUGACGGAGCAACGCCGCGUGAGUGAUGAAGGUCUUCGGAUCGUAAAACUCUGUUAUUAGGGAAGAACAUAUGUGUAAGUAACUGUGCACAUCUUGACGGUACCUAAUCAGAAAGCCACGGCUAACUACGUG